AUACUUACCUGGCACUGGGGUAUGCCUUGAUCAACAAGGAGGCUCCCCCGAGCAGAGGCCACUCAUUGCACAGCGAGUGGUUAACGUUAGCCACAUUCGCAAAUUGCGAUUGCUUGGGUGGCUUAACUUUUGAUAGCGGGGCUUGCGUUCGCGCUGCCCCUAU
Molecule: small nuclear RNA, 163 nt
Filed under: Lasius niger
Lineage: Eukaryota; Metazoa; Arthropoda; Insecta; Hymenoptera; Formicidae
Description: U1 spliceosomal RNA
Rfam family: U1 spliceosomal RNA
About the family: U1 is a small nuclear RNA (snRNA) component of the spliceosome (involved in pre-mRNA splicing). Its 5' end forms complementary base pairs with the 5' splice junction, thus defining the 5' donor site of an intron.
Source: Rfam by way of RNAcentral